RNAcentral lists this ribosomal RNA (253 nucleotides) under uncultured bacterium. RNAcentral describes it as "partial 16S ribosomal RNA". It matches the Rfam family "Bacterial small subunit ribosomal RNA", at positions 524 to 776 of the family's 1533-position model. The record is from RNAcentral.
GACGGAGGGGGCUAGCGUUGUUCGGAAUGACUGGGCGUAAAGGGCGCGUAGGCGGUUUUUUAAGUGAGGCGUGAAAGCCCUGGGCUUAACCUAGGAGGUGCGUUUCAUACUGGAAGACUUGAGUACGAGAGAGGAAAGUGGAAUUCCUAGUGUAGAGGUGAAAUUCGUAGAUAUUAGGAAGAACACCAGUGGCGAAGGCGACUUUCUGGCUCGUAACUGACGCUGAGGCGCGAAAGCGUGGGGAGCAAACAGG